CCCAGCAGGGGGAGACAGGGAGCAGAGCUGAUUCACUCAAUGGAUGUACAUCGUGCCACUGGUCCUCUUCCUGAUGAUGUCAGGAGCCCAGGACCAGUCUGGGGGCGGAGCCGGGGGCGGGGCAGCCAAUGGAGGAGGCCGAUGAUCACCACCCCAAACUGCAUUUCUACAUGUUAAUGUUAAACAUGCUCACGGUCCUGAAUUAGACUGGUCCCAGACACGCUGGUGAAAAAGCUUCUGUACUGAUGUCAUUGCACUGCUGUUUUUAAUACUUAAAAAUAAAGUAUUUAUUACUAUCUGGGA
Molecule: long non-coding RNA, 303 nt
Organism: Hypomesus transpacificus
Lineage: Eukaryota; Metazoa; Chordata; Actinopteri; Osmeriformes; Osmeridae
Exons: 2
Source: RefSeq, a predicted model, not a curated record